AUUCAGACAGUAAACUUUAUUCUUAGAGGUGCAGUUGUGGUAACAGUAGAACCAGAACUAAAUCAGCUAGGAAAAAAAGGCUUCAUGUUACCAAUUGCCAAUACCAAUUUGGUCAACACCACAGUCCAGAUGAUAAAGGACGCAAUAGUCAUUGGUAGUGAUAUAGAGCUAAAAAAGAAAGAAAAUUCCGAACCAGACUUUUGAAAGAAUGUUAUUAAUAAUAUUAAUCAACAUAUGAUUCCUUAAAUACUGAUGAUAAAUAUUUAGAGAGUCUCCGACCAAAUUGAAAUCAGAUCACAAGACGUAUUUUUGGUUUCUUUAAUUAGAUAUUCUAUUUUACAG
This is a long non-coding RNA of Saccostrea echinata, 342 nucleotides long. RefSeq lists it as uncharacterized. The transcript is spliced from 3 exons. The record is from RefSeq and is a predicted model, not a curated record. NCBI's taxonomy places the organism in Eukaryota, Metazoa, Mollusca, Bivalvia, Ostreida, Ostreidae.